UGGCGCCCAACGUGGGGCUCGGAUACGAGGGAUGCAGUGAGGACAUGGACGUGUGUCGCCAAAGCUCGUAGGGACCGAGCAGCUUAAAGUGAAAGUGCCUUCGACCAUUGCGGGAGCCUGCCUCGCUUGAGUAAAAGUUGAAUGCGUCUGCAAAAAUGGGCAGGAACUUAGCCAACAUCAAUUGUAUGUAACACAAUUGAGGGAAGUGUUAAAUACACGAAGAGUAAAGGUUGCAAAAGCAGAUUUGUUUAGAUUCUUUGAUUUUAUAAAGGAUGUGUGCCCCU
Microcebus murinus (gray mouse lemur) is the source of this 284-nucleotide non-coding RNA. Lineage: Eukaryota; Metazoa; Chordata; Mammalia; Primates; Cheirogaleidae. The record is from Rfam.